This 1243-nucleotide ribosomal RNA is filed under the name metagenome. RNAcentral's name for it is "bacterial LSU rRNA". It matches the Rfam family "Bacterial large subunit ribosomal RNA", at positions 1564 to 2816 of the family's 2925-position model. The record is from RNAcentral.
UGAAUACGAGACGCUAAGGCGUCGAAGUAGUGUAUGUCAUACUUCCAAGAAAAGCUUGCACUGUCAUAGAUAAAAAACGCCUGUACCAUAACCGACACAGGUGGGUAGGUAGAGUAUACUAAGGGGCGCGAGAUAACUCUCUCUAAGGAACUCGGCAAAAUAACUCCGUAACUUCGGGAGAAGGAGUGCCUUAUUAUUAAGGCUGCAAUAACAAGAUCCAAGCAACUGUUUAUCAAAAACACAGGUCUCCGCUAAGUCGUAAGACGAUGUAUGGGGGCUGACGCCUGCCCAGUGCCAGAAGGUUAAAGAAGUUGGUUAGCAUUUGCGAAGCUGAUAACUGAAGCCCUGGUGAACGGCGGCCGUAACAAUAACGGUCCUAAGGUAGCGAAAUUCCUUGUCGGGUAAGUUCCGACCCGCACGAAAGGCGUAAUGAUUUGGAUACUGUCUCGGAGAGGGGCUCGGUGAAAUAGACUUGUCUGUGAAGAUGCGGACUACCUGCACCAGGACGGAAAGACCCUAUGAAGCUUUACUGUAACUUGAAAUUGAAAUUGGACUUUAUUCGCGCAGCAUAGGUGGGAGGCGUUGAUUAUAAUCUUGUGGGAUUAUUGGAGCCAUCAGUGAGAUACCACUCUUGUAAUGUUAGAUUUCUAACUUUGAAUCAUUAUCUGGUCAAAGAACAGUUUCAGGCGGGCAGUUUGACUGGGGCGGUCGCCUCCUAAACGGUAACGGAGGCGUACAAAGGUUUCCUCUGAACGGUUAGAAAUCGUAUCUAGAGUGUAAAGGCAUAAGGAAGCUUGACUGUGAGACCUACAAGUCGAGCAGGGACGAAAGUCGGUCUUAGUGAUCUGACGGUACUGAGUGGAAAGGCCGUCACUCAACGGAUAAAAGUUACUCUAAGGAUAGCAGGCUGAUCUCCCCCAAGAGUUCACAUCGACGGGGAGGUUUGGCACCUCGAUGUCGGCUCAUCGCAUCCUGGGGCGGUAGUACGUCCCAAGGGUUGGGCUGUUCGCCCAUGAAAGCGGUACGCGAGCUGGGUUCAGAACGUCGUGAGACAGUUCGGUCCAUAUCCGGUGUAGGCGUUAGAAUAUUGAGAGGAGCCUUCUUUAGUACGAGAGGACCGAGAAGGACAUACCUCUGGUGUACCAGUUAUCGUGCCAACGGUAAACGCUGGGUAGCUAUGUAUGGAGUGGAUAACCGCUGAAAGCAUCUAAGUGGGAAGCCCACCUCAAGAUAAGUAUUCUCA